GGUGUGGCUCAGUGACAGAGCACCUGCCUAGGAAGCACAAGGACCUGGGUGCAAUACCCAGUCACAUCA
RNAcentral lists this transfer RNA (69 nucleotides) under Cricetulus griseus (Chinese hamster). It matches the Rfam family "tRNA". Rfam says of the family: Transfer RNA (tRNA) molecules are approximately 80 nucleotides in length. Their secondary structure includes four short double-helical elements and three loops (D, anti-codon, and T loops). Lineage: Eukaryota; Metazoa; Chordata; Mammalia; Rodentia; Cricetidae. The record is from Rfam by way of RNAcentral.